UACGUAGGUGGCUAGCGUUGCCCGGAUUUACUGGGCGUAAAGAGCGCGCAGGCGGUCGUUCAAGUCGAGUGUGAAAGCCCCCGGCUCAACUGGGGAGGGUCACUCGAUACUGAUCGACUCGAAGGCAGGAGAGGGAAGCGGAAUUCCCGGUGUAGUGGUGAAAUGCGUAGAUAUCGGGAGGAACACCAGUGGCGAAGGCGGCUUUCUGGCCUGCUCUUGACGCUGAGGCGCGAAAGCUAGGGUAGCAAACGGG
RNAcentral lists this ribosomal RNA (253 nucleotides) under uncultured bacterium. RNAcentral describes it as "partial 16S ribosomal RNA". It matches the Rfam family "Bacterial small subunit ribosomal RNA", at positions 524 to 776 of the family's 1533-position model. The record is from RNAcentral.